AUUGAACGCUGGCGGCAGGCCUAACACAUGCAAGUCGAACGAGUGGCGGACGGGUGAGUAAUGUCUGGGCAACUGCCUGAUGGAGGGGGAUAACUACUGGAAACGGUAGCUAAUACCGCAUACCAUCGGAUGUGCCCAGAUGGGAUUAGCUAGUAGGUGGGGUAACGGCUCACCUAGGAGACGAUCCCUAGCUGGUCUGAGAGGAUGACCGGCAACACUGGAACUGAGACACGGUCCAGACUCCUACGGGAGGCAGCAGUGGGGAAUAUUGCACAAUGGGCGCAAGCCUGAGGCAGCCAGGCCGCGUGUAUGAAGAAGGCCUUCGGGUUGUAAAGUACGUUCAGCGGGGAGGCGUUACUCGCAGAAGAAGCACCGGCUAACUCCGUGUCAGCCGCCGCGGUAAUUC
This 406-nucleotide ribosomal RNA is filed under the name uncultured bacterium. Its description in RNAcentral is "partial 16S ribosomal RNA". It matches the Rfam family "Bacterial small subunit ribosomal RNA", at positions 30 to 526 of the family's 1533-position model. The record is from RNAcentral.